UGGUCGGAGCCCGUGUGUCCCCAUUUAGGGCUCCUGGGGUGGGGGUUAAUGUUUCCCCCUCCUGCACUCCGGGAUCGGGCUUUCAGGAGGCAGUUCCUCAUAACGGAAGGACAGAAAGGGUCACGCCCGGAGUAAGGGCCCUGGAGCACGAGGCCGGGUCACCAAGACCGGACCUGCUGACCCACUGAGGGGACGAUUGGGCCGAGCCUCUUGGGAACACACAAGAGGAGCUGUAUGAAAGGAGGAGACCUUGGAGCUGGAGAGAAAGUCUCCAAGGAUAUUAAACCGUCUGCUUUGCCCCGUCGCUCUGUUCCAUCGAUACCUGCUCGCUGACUGGAAGGGCAGAGUACACCCACCCACACAGACACCGUGAGUGGGGAAGCCCAGUGACACAGUCCCACCCAGCACGCGGCCGUCCCGAAUGCCCGCGAGCUUCCAGGAACGCGGCCUGUCUCAAGGCUCACGCCCUCGCCUAUCCGGACAUCCGGUGCUUCAUUUGUGAAGCUUGUGGCAAGGCCUUAAAAGGACCCCGCUGUGUCUGCCCACCGCGCUUCCUGCUGCUGCUCCUGCUGCUCCCGGCAGGUCAGCCUUACCAGGGAGCCGGCUCAGCACGUCCUGGUGCCUCACGGCAGACUGGGUCUCCUGCUAAUGUGGGCACAAAAAGGGAAAGACAGUGAGAGUCGCUCAGGCGUGUCUGACUCUUUGCGACCCCAUGGACUGUAGUUCAUGGGAUUCUCCAGGCCGGAGUACUAGAGUGGGUAGCUGUUCCCUUCACCAAGGGAUCUUCCCCAACCCAGGGAUCGAACACAGGUCUCCUGCAUUGCAGACGGAUUCUUUACCAGCUGAGCCACCAGGGAAGCCCGUGGUAGAUGCAGAGGGAGGGAAGGGCACAGCACGCAUGCUGUUAGGGGGCCACGUCCUGGGAAUCCUGCCGCAGGCCGCCAGCGUCCAGCUCGAGGGCUGUCAGUUGCAGAGCUAGGCCCUGCCCUCUCUGAAGGACAAGGCAGUACCCUUUUCUGUGCUGGCUCUUUCUAACACUGAAUGAUCUUCAGCCUUCGGGUGUGUUGCGAGUCCGUGGGUGGCAGGGGAAGGAGGAGACAGUAUCAUGAAAGAUGGAUUCACCUCCAAGGGCGAUUUCUGGUCUUGGCUCAGAUGGUAAAGAAUCUGCCUGCAGUGCUGGAGAUCCCUGGGUCAGGAAGAUCCCCAGGAUUAGGGAAUGGCAACCCGCUCCAGUUUUCUUGCCUGGAGAAUGCGCAUGGACAGAGGAGCCUGGGGGGCUACAGUCCAUGGGAUCAUAAAGAGUUGGACACGACUGAGCGAAUAACACAACACUUUUUCCUAUUGUAGAAUGACUGGUUCCUUCUCCGGCCUAGAAGGAUAAAGUGACUUUUAAAGGAAAGUCACAACUUUUCGGACAAAAGCUAUCUCUUUUGUCUUCCCUCCCUCCGCAUCUACCGCGUCUCCAAAUAGUGACUUUAUACUGGCUGGGUAUUUUCUUUUUUUUAACCCUCCGAUGGCAGAGGUGAGGCGCGCAGGCACCCGGAACCAUGGUUCGCGGGUGUUUUGUUUCCCGCCGGGGCGGAUGCCUCGGGUCCCGCCCGGUCGCGAUGGCGGCGGGAGCCGGUAGACGGCUCCGGACUCUGAGUCCAUCUCUGCCGCGCCGCAGACAGACGUCCUGGGGCCGCCCCUCGGGCCGCUUCCCGCCGCGCCCGGACCCGAGAGGCUCCCGCACCGCCCGCCGGCGCCGGGAGGCUGGGCCCGAGCUCCGCGCGGCAGGAGAGGCCCGAGCAGCGCGGUGCGUCUGCUGGGGCGCCCGCUCAGACGCAGAUGCGCGGGGCGGAGCGGUUCGGAGCUGGUGGGUUCCGCGGAAAGAGCUAAUUUAGAGGGUCCCGCUCGUGUCCGCCCCUCAGGUUCCCAGAGGGCUCCUCGACCCCGAGCCUCUCCGUGGGCCAUGGGCCCUCCUUCCCUAGGGUGGCCCCCCGCCCCGGGGCCUCUGCCCACCUGGGAAGGCCCGUCACCCGCUCACCGUCGGGGAUGGUGUUGGCCCUGCGUGGCCGGAGCCCAGGCGCCCCUCUUGUUCCCGUCCCUCCCUGAGAGCUCCCCGCAUUGCCGGAGCCACAGCACCUCCCGCUCGGAGGUCUUCAAGCAGCCCAUCGAGGAUUCGGAGGCGUCGCUUCACGCACCGGCCCGCUGUGUCCCGGUGUUCUCAGGAGGCCGGGCGGCUGGCCCAGCACAUCCAGGACCGCUCGGCUGGAAGGGAUUUCCUGGACGGUGGAGAGGCCGCAGGGGCUCCGUAGAGGCUCCUGUUUCUGGUGCAGAAGGCAGAGCGCGGGGUCUGGGCCGCCUCCUUACUUGCCCUGUGACCUGAGGCUGCCUCGCUGGGCCUGUUUCCUCCUCCUGAAAUUACUUGUGACCUCCAGCCAACCUGCCCAGCGGGGAGAAGCAGGAGUCUCUUGUUGGACCCCUGACUCUCCCACAGCCUCUCUUCAUAGCCUGGGAUCGAUCACCACCCAUCCUGGACUCAGUUUCUCGAUCUGUGAGAGGGUACAGAAUAAAGCAGCCUGAUCAGGUGAGCUGCAAACUCACCUAAUAUGAAGGUAGCA
Molecule: long non-coding RNA, 2603 nt
Organism: Dama dama (fallow deer)
Lineage: Eukaryota; Metazoa; Chordata; Mammalia; Artiodactyla; Cervidae
Exons: 2
Source: RefSeq, a predicted model, not a curated record